UAGUUACUCUGGACUGCCAUGAUAGAAACAUUGAAACAGAUAUUGACUGGCUUUAGGUAUGUGAGACGUUUUUAUUGGUGUUGCAAACGAUGUAACGAUCACUAAAUUCUGUGCCUAUGUGAGAUUUGUUGGUUCAUCGAAUAACAUCAAAGUUACAGUUGUUACUCUACGUUUCCCUCAUUAAUUACUCUUCCACUCAAACUUCUCUGGGAUUGGUGGAAAAAGAAGAGAAAACUUCGACUGAAAUACGAUAAGGAAGGUAAACGGUCAAGCAAAGUGUGCAAGGUCGUUGAUGGAGUAUUCUAUGUGAAAUCCUCUCACCGGUCUGAGCCCCACCAACUGAACA
Bolinopsis microptera is the source of this 346-nucleotide long non-coding RNA. RefSeq lists it as uncharacterized. NCBI's taxonomy places the organism in Eukaryota, Metazoa, Ctenophora, Tentaculata, Lobata, Bolinopsidae. The record is from RefSeq and is a predicted model, not a curated record. The transcript has 4 exons.